CUUGGUCAUUUAGAGGAAGUAAAAGUCGUAACAAGGUUUCCGUAGGUGAACCUGCGGAAGGAUCAUUAUUGAAUAAACCUGAUGUGACUGUUAGCUGGCUUUUCGAAGCAUGUGCUCGUCCAUCAUCUUUAUCUCUCCACCUGUGCACAUUUUGUAGUCUUGCAUACCUCUCGAGGAAACUCGGAUUUGAGGAUCGCCGUGCUGUACAAGUCGGCUUUUCUUUUAUUUCCAAGACUAUGUUUUUAUAUACACCAAAGUAUGUUUAUAGAAUGACAUCAAUGGGAACUUGUUUCCUAUAAAAUUAUACAACUUUCAGCAACGGAUCUCUUGGCUCUCGCAUCGAUGAAGAACGCAGCGAAAUGCGAUAAGUAAUGUGAAUUGCAGAAUUCAGUGAAUCAUCGAAUCUUUGAACGCACCUUGCGCCCUUUGGUAUUCCGAAGGGCAUGCCUGUUUGAGUGUCAUUAAAUUAUCAACCUUGCUUGCUUUUACUAGCUGAGCUCGGCUUGGAUGUGGGGGUUUUGCUGGCUUCCUUCAGUGGAUGGUCUGCUCCCCUUAAAUGCAUUAGUGGAAUCUGUUGUGGACCGUCACUUGGUGUGAUAAUUAUCUAUGCCACUUGACUUUGAAGCAAAACUUAUCGGAACCUGCUUAUAACCGUCUGCUUCGUCGGACAACUUUUGACAUUUUGACCUCAAAUCAGGUAGGACUACCCGCUGAACUUAAGCAUAUCAAUAAGCGGAGGAAAAGAAACUAACAAGGAUUCCCCUAGUAACUGCGAGUGAAGCGGGAAAAGCUCAAAUUUAAAAUCUGGCGGUCCUUGUGGCCGUCCGAGUUGUAAUUUAGAGAAGUGUUAUCCGCGCUGGACCGUGUACAAGUCUCCUGGAAUGGAGCGUCAUAGAGGGUGAGAAUCCCGUCUUUGACACGGACUGCCAGGGCUUUGUGAUAUGCUCUCAAAGAGUCGAGUUGUUUGGGAAUGCAGCUCAAAAUGGGUGGUAAAUUCCAUCUAAAGCUAAAUAUUGGCGAGAGACCGAUAGCGAACAAGUACCGUGAGGGAAAGAUGAAAAGAACUUUGGAAAGAGAGUUAAACAGUACGUGAAAUUGCUGAAAGGGAAACGCUUGAAGUCAGUCGCGUUGGCCAGGGACCAACCUUGCUUUUGCUUGGCUUACUUUCUGGUCGAUGGGUCAGCAUCAAUUUUGACUGGUGGAAAAAGUUCAAGGGAAUGUGGCAUCUUCGGAUGUGUUAUAGCCUUUGUUCACAUACAUUGGUUGGGAUUGAGGAACUCAGCACGCCGCAAGGCCGGGUUUUUAACCACGUACGUGCUUAGGAUGCUGGCAUAAUGGCUUUAAUCGACCCGUCUUGAAACACGGACC
RNAcentral lists this ribosomal RNA (1368 nucleotides) under uncultured fungus. RNAcentral describes it as "eukaryotic LSU rRNA". The stretch from base 684 to 1368 matches the Rfam family "Eukaryotic large subunit ribosomal RNA", at positions 1 to 667 of the family's 3401-position model. Lineage: Eukaryota; Fungi. The record is from RNAcentral.